Molecule: unclassified non-coding RNA, 393 nt
Filed under: Hevea brasiliensis (rubber tree)
Lineage: Eukaryota; Viridiplantae; Streptophyta; Magnoliopsida; Malpighiales; Euphorbiaceae
Source: RNAcentral
AUGGGUCGGUCAAGUUCGGCCAUGGAGAUGGGUCGGCGUAUUUGUUUGAUCCUGAUAUUUACACGGACGGACGGAUCUCGGUUCAGGGCAUUGACGGGGUAUUAUUCCCGCCGGAGGAGACAGAGGCCACGAACGCACCAAAGGCAGUUCAACCUACUAAGGUCGCGGCCAAGCCUCGGAGAGGGAAACUACUGGAAGUUACUUGCCGGAUGUUGAGAACUUUUGGACAGGAUACUUCUUUCACAGCUUGUCACUGAAGCAUGUAUUCGUUGAUUAAACCAAAGCAAAAGAUGUGGUAUAGUUUGGUAGGAUGCAGUGGUGUCGAACAUAAAGAAGAUCUUGAAGGAAGGAGAACUCAAAGGUUACAUAUUCUACAAUUAAAGCGACUUUGGU